GCGAGGGUGGCGGAAAUGGAAGACGCGCUGGAUUUAGGAUCCAGUCCCGUUAAAGGGGUGGGGGUUCGAUUCCCCCCCUUCGCA
Molecule: transfer RNA, 84 nt
Filed under: Candidatus Cloacimonadota bacterium
Lineage: Bacteria; Pseudomonadati; Candidatus Cloacimonadota
Also listed under: 2 other names
Description: Candidatus Cloacimonetes bacterium tRNA-Leu
Rfam family: tRNA
About the family: Transfer RNA (tRNA) molecules are approximately 80 nucleotides in length. Their secondary structure includes four short double-helical elements and three loops (D, anti-codon, and T loops).
Source: RNAcentral